GCCCCCAUAGCUCAGUGGAUAGAGCGACAGCCUCCGGAGCUGUAGACAGGCGUUCGACUCGCCUUGGGGGUA
Molecule: transfer RNA, 72 nt
Filed under: Chloroflexota bacterium
Lineage: Bacteria; Bacillati; Chloroflexota
Description: tRNA-Arg
Rfam family: tRNA
About the family: Transfer RNA (tRNA) molecules are approximately 80 nucleotides in length.
Source: RNAcentral